Castor canadensis (American beaver) is the source of this 277-nucleotide non-coding RNA. The record is from RefSeq and is a predicted model, not a curated record. NCBI's taxonomy places the organism in Eukaryota, Metazoa, Chordata, Mammalia, Rodentia, Castoridae.
AGAUGUCCCGUGUGCUUGAAAAUGCUCAUAUUGUUGGGGGUAAAACUGUUAACCAGAUAAGGAGACUGGAGGGAACAUUCUCCACUGAGGGCACAAGUACCCAAGUGGCCUUGGACCAUCUAGAGUCUGUGCCUGAGAAACUGAGCCUCCUAGAAGAUUUCAGAGACUUCAGAGAUUCCUGCAGUUCAUCUGAGAGAAUUGAUGGGAGAUAUUCUAAAUACAGAAUUCACAGAGAUUCUCUUCAGCAGCACCGAGAUGACACCAAAUACAGAGUCAA